This 2654-nucleotide long non-coding RNA is filed under the name Pan troglodytes (chimpanzee). RNAcentral's name for it is "long non-coding RNA NONPTRT005632". Lineage: Eukaryota; Metazoa; Chordata; Mammalia; Primates; Hominidae. The record is from RNAcentral.
GUUUUCUCCUGGACGGAGCCUGCAGAUCCUAUGAGCAAGCAUAUGUCCUGUGCUCCACUAGUCCUAGCUGGAUCGUGGACAUAUUACCAUCAUUACAAAUAUCAAUAGUUUGUGAUUACUUCAAACAAUCUGAAGUUGAAGGACCCCAGAUAUCCUUCAAAACAGGAAUCUGCAGGCAGAUGCUGAACCCAUGAAUACAGAGGGACAACUAUACGCUGACAUAGUUUUAUGAAUGCAAACAGCCAAGGAGAGCAGAUGUUGAGUGGUUGCCAGAGUGAAAUGAGGAAGCCCUGCUGCCAGCUUCCCACCAAAAAGCAGGCUCCGGCCCUGAACGCAGGAGAGUUGCUAAAGAAGUUGUUCACAGAGGCGGGAGAGAGCAGGCUACUGGUUUCCUUCAAAAUGGAAUAGGAAACAGAAAACGUGCAUCAUUUCUUCGCACUUGAAUCAGCAACAUGACACAGGACUUUGGCAUCAGACUACUAUCACACCAAAAAAAGAGGCUUCACUUGGAGUGCUGCCACUGGAUGGGGCCUGACUUGUUUAUCCGGAAAGAAGUGACUUCCCUGGGAAGAAGGUUGCAUUUGUGAAAGCUUGUGAGGCAUUUCAAGGCUGCAUUCAGGUACAGGUCUUUGAAGAGUUUGCAUUGCUCUGUGAGUUACCAGAGGACUGCCAUCUUUAAUCCAAUUCAGACAGCGAUUCACCAGGCUUUGCAUGUGCUCAGGCCUGUUGCUCCUUAUCAGAGGCCCACAUGGAGCUCUCAGUACAGCUGCAGCCCUGGAGAAUUUCCCUGUCUCCUCCUGUUCUCUCUCUCUCCUCCUCCUCCCGCUUCUCUUCCCUGCCUCUCCCCCACCCCUAUACAAACACACACAUACACACAGACACACAGACACACACACACACACACACACACACACCUACUCCUUAGCUCUUUAAUUUUCCUUUUAAGGCAUCAAAAUCAAUUUUGGGACUCUAUUUGGUACAAAGAGUUGAUAUGGAUUUGAUACGGAUAGAGUUGACUGAUCUCUACUCUGGGUUUGAAGAUGUUGCUGCAAAUGGAAAGGAAAUAAUCCCGGGCUAUUGUGACAGAUGACAUGGUGUAGAGGGAAGAGCGCAGGACCGAAGGUGGAGAAUCACUUGUUUAUGCAACACAUAUUUCCUGAACAUCAAAUACAAGGAUAAAGCCAUGAAGGAAACAGAGCCCUGUUUCUGCAGAACACACGUUCUGGUUGGAGAAGACAAGUAGCGAAUACACCAACAAAUAAGAGAAUAUUUGACGAUGUUGAGUGUUUUAUGAAGGGGAUAAAGAGUGACUGCAGGGCUCAGAAGGUAGCGAUUAUUUUAAGUAGGGAAGGUCUUUUGUAAGAAGGUGCUAUUUAAAUUGAGACUUUAAAGGUGUGCAACUUUGGAUAAAUUGGAAACAAGAAGGGAAGUGCAUUCUGUGGGAUCUAGUAAGAGCAGAGAGUGAUGACCAACUCCAGACCCCAAAGAGAAAGGAGAGUGAGGCUAUUGGCACUUGGAGGCAGAGAAAGCCAUGUGUAGAGGGUGGCCCGACUGAGCUAAAACCUUCAGUCUGUUGGUCUUGAGCUAUUUGAGGGUCUAUUAUGUGCAGGAUUAGGCUCGGCACUAUCGAGGAUCACAAAAGCGUGUUAGUUAUGGAGUCUUCCAGCAAUAGGCUUACAGUCAAGAAUGGGAAACAACACAUAUGCACGUAAUUUGAUUGAAAUGUAGGAAGUUUUAAGGAUGAUAGGAGGAGUUCAGAUAAAGACUAGAAAGUUCUCAGGUGCCAGAUUGCUUCCAGCCAACAGAUCAGAGGAACUGCCAUAGAGGAGGUGGCUGUGUGUGCCCUGGACCUCAAAGGAGAGAGAUGAUAUUCAGACGUGUAGCAGUGAUAGGCAGAAGCACAUUUUAAAUGGAGGGAAUGAAACAGGAUAAGCAAAAGACUGGUGAUUGAAAAACUCUGGUUGCCUGUGCAGAAAAGAGAAAUCUUAGUUUGACUGGAGCUUCUGGCACAUGAAAGGGAUUUAGAGUUUGCCGUUUCUGUGAAUCUGUCCAUCUUCACCCUCAUGCUGUUCUCCUUUCCUCUUUUAACCUGUAUCUUCUCUCUCUUUGUUUUGUUGACUUUCUCUUUUUUGUUUUCCGUUGUCCUUUUUUAUGAGUGGAGCAUUUCAGUGCAAGAGCAAAUGGGAGUGGAGUGGGGUUCUGUGGAAUGUCAGAAAUGCAUGCUCAACCUAGAUUUCCCAAGCUCUCACUCAGUCUUAUCCCAGGGAUCACUUGACAUGAUGGGAAAUGAUGGGAAAAAAAUAAACAAUGUGAUCCCAGAGCAAAACUUAUUUACUUUAUCUGUUUAACCCAGUUCUACCGCUUCUCUCGCCAUUUCCCAAGAACCAGGGGCAGAAAACAUGAGAAAGCAGAAGGGAGACAGAUUUUAGAGAACGUGAGUUUGUCGUUUUUCCUUCUAGGAUGAGAGAACAUGUCUGCCACCACCAGUUUCAGGGAACAACUGAUUCAUUUCACAGCCCCACCAAUGUAUACAACCUGGUUUGUUCUUGAGCCAGGUGCUUUCUCAUUGGUGACAGAGCAGCAGUACUUUCCAGCAUGCUGUACAAUUAUCCAGACUAGAGGCCCUUCCUCUGCAUGGAUUGGCCCUACUUAAG